UUUAUCCUAACAGACGUUUUAUCCUCGAAAAGAUAAUGAAAACUGUAAUAUCAUCACUUCAAAGGAAAAGAAAUGUUAAGUCAUUUUAGAUUCAGAAGGCAGCAAGUUUUAAGGAGGACUUUUAUUGGGGGUGGAAGAAGGCAUCUUCUUAUGUCUGAGGGAGAAGAGGAAAAAGCCAACCAGUAAACAUCUACUUAGCAUGAUGGUUGAGGCCACAGGCACUGCAGUCCAAAUGUUGCAGUCUCUUUCCACCUACAGCCCUGCUAGAGUCACUUUGCCUCUCUAAGUCUUUCUACUGAAAUAUUCUAAACGGGAGCUGGUUGGAGUCCAAAGCAGCACCACAAGCAAGACAUUCCAUGGAAGUCUCAUAUUUUAUCUCAGAAAUUAAGCUCUGAUGGGAAAGCUCUGAUUCAAGCCUCAGACUUGCAAAGGAGAAAGUAGAGGUGCAGGCAUGUUCCUGUGGGGUCUCUGCCUUUCACUAUGAGUCUUGUCACGGAUGUCUCCAGGUUUGCCUUGGCCAUGAUGGCUAAGUGGCCCCACUUGGUCCCAUGCCUGUGUCUGAGCUGGCUCUGUGGGUGGAGUCAAGCUGCCUUCAGCACAGUGCAUGGCACAUCACGGCUCUCAAUGAAUAUUUGUCGAGGGAAGUCGAUGAAGCAAGAAAGUCUCUCAACUGGUUUUGAGUUAAUGGUCCAAGGUGACAUUAUUUCUUCCUAAGGCAGCAAUUCUCACAGCAGGGGUAGGGAAAGCACCCACUCCUUGGUGGGGAGAGUGAAUGCUAUUUUGCUGGGGGUCAGUCAUGGGAAAGGUGGCAAAGGGGGGGGAAGGUGAAUUUAAUUCAAAAAAAAUUAUGUCUAACAUAAUUACUGUGUCAAAUACUGAUAGUUGGCCCUCAAUUUUUAACUGAGCACAUGGCUGCUGAGAGUUAGGACUACAUUUUCCAGCUACAUGUGGCCAUGUGACUAAGGUCUGGUGAAUGGAAUGUAAGUGGAACUACGUGGCAGCUUAGAGAAACUUCUGUUAAAAGACAACUAGCAUGUGCUUUUGCCCCUUGCAUCUGCAAGCUUACCUGCUUCUUGGAUCACAGGUGUAAGGGGUGGAUCGAGAACUGGGUUUCUCAGCCUCUACAUUAUUCACAUUUUGGGCUUGGAUGAUUUUUUUGUUGUCAUGGGCUGUAGGACAUUUAUCAGCACCUCUGGUCUCUACUGUUUAGAUGACGCUGGCACCUCCUACCCAGUGUGACAAUCAAAAAUGUCACGUCAGACAUUACCAGUUUUCCUUUGGGGGGACAAAAUUACCCCUGAUGGAGAGCCAUUGAUCCAGAGCACAGCUGUCUUAGCCCAGGAGGCAGCUGGGAAUGGCAGAAGGAGCCCGUGUCCCCUAGGACUUGGUAGAGUACAGCCAUCACAUCAGGCAAGGACAGCCAACCUCCAAACUUGUCCUCUUAGGAGAAAUAAAUAUCCCUUUGG
This is a non-coding RNA of Microcebus murinus (gray mouse lemur), 1466 nucleotides long. The record is from RefSeq and is a predicted model, not a curated record. Lineage: Eukaryota; Metazoa; Chordata; Mammalia; Primates; Cheirogaleidae.